This 557-nucleotide long non-coding RNA is filed under the name Gossypium raimondii (Peruvian cotton). Its description in RNAcentral is "long non-coding RNA (GRAI_LNC009045)". Lineage: Eukaryota; Viridiplantae; Streptophyta; Magnoliopsida; Malvales; Malvaceae. The record is from RNAcentral.
GGUUACUCAUCAUGAAGAUUUUAUUUUAUUUUUACCUUUCUUCAUCGAAAUGAACUCACAAAGAAGUUAAACCCAUAACUUCCGAUGAUCAAAUCUAUAACUCACAAAACACAGAAAAAGGGUACUUGAAGGAUCUAGGGCUUUGUGCAAUUCAACAUCAGUAUUAUAGGCUAAGAAAAAAUGGAGGGGGGAUUACAGAAUAUGGUUUGUUCCUUCUCAAAGGACACAAAAUCAAGAUCCCCUUCUUUCUUGGCGGCAACGGCGGUGGAGCAGUGCCGACGAUUCUUUCGGCGAUGCCAUUCGUAUUUGUCAACAGGCCUCCCAAGCAAGUUAUCUUGUUGUGGAGGUGUUCAAAUCUUGCUUUAUCGCCGGUGUAUGGCGUUGGGCUUCAAGGUUCUCAAGCGAUUAAAAGGCGAUUAGUGUAACGUUAUUAACCCUUUCAAAUCCAGUUAGGUUUCAUAUUAUGAAAAUGGGUAACUAGUUCAAAUACUUUUCUUUUCUAAUAUGUAAAAAGUAGUUUAUAUUUUUUUUUAAAAUCUUCAACGUCAAAAUUAAAG